RNAcentral lists this ribosomal RNA (560 nucleotides) under uncultured bacterium. RNAcentral's name for it is "bacterial SSU rRNA". It matches the Rfam family "Bacterial small subunit ribosomal RNA", at positions 338 to 916 of the family's 1533-position model. The record is from RNAcentral.
CCUACGGGAGGCAGCAGUGGGGAAUCUUGCGCAAUGGGCGAAAGCCUGACGCAGCCAUGCCGCGUGAAUGAUGAAGGUCUUAGGAUUGUAAAAUUCUUUCACCGGGGACGAUAAUGACGGUACCCGGAGAAGAAGCCCCGGCUAACUUCGUGCCAGCAGCCGCGGUAAUACGAAGGGGGCUAGCGUUGCUCGGAAUUACUGGGCGUAAGGGGAGCGUAGGCGGAUAGUUUAGUCAGAGGUGAAAGCCCAGGGCUCAACCUUGGAAUUGCCCUUGAUACUGGCUAUCUUGAGUACGGAAGAGGUAUGUGGAACUCCGAGUGUAGAGGUGAAAUUCGUAGAUAUUCGGAAGAACACCAGUGGCGAAGGCGACAUACUGGUCCGUUACUGACGCUGAGGCUCGAAAGCGUGGGGAGCAAACAGGAUUAGAUACCCUGGUAGUCCACGCUGUAAACGAUGAGUGCUAGUUGUCGGCAUGCAUGCAUGUCGGUGACGCAGCUAACGCAUUAAGCACUCCGCCUGGGGAGUACGGUCGCAAGAUUAAAACUCAAAGGAAUUGACGG